GUCCUUGUAGCUCAGUAGGUUAGAGCGCCAGAUUGUGGCUCUGGAGGUCGUCGGUUCAAAUCCGAUCAAGGACCCCA
This 77-nucleotide transfer RNA is filed under the name Planctomycetota bacterium. RNAcentral describes it as "Planctomycetes bacterium tRNA-His". It matches the Rfam family "tRNA". From Rfam's summary of the family: Transfer RNA (tRNA) molecules are approximately 80 nucleotides in length. Lineage: Bacteria; Pseudomonadati; Planctomycetota. The record is from RNAcentral.